This 354-nucleotide ribosomal RNA is filed under the name Eukaryota sp. Its description in RNAcentral is "SSU rRNA". It matches the Rfam family "Eukaryotic small subunit ribosomal RNA", at positions 1325 to 1700 of the family's 1831-position model. The record is from RNAcentral.
UCGUUAACGAACGAGACUUCGACCUACUAAAUAGUUCACGGUAGGUCCCCUACCGGUGACACUUCUUAGAGGGACUGUCGGUUUGUAGCCGAAGGAAGUUCGAGGCAAUAACAGGUCUGUGAUGCCCUUAGAUGUUCUGGGCCGCACGCGCGCUACACUGAUACGUUCAUCGAGCUUACAACCUUGGCUGAGAGGCCUGGGUAAUCUUUGAAAGCGUAUCGUGCUGGGGAUAGAUUAUUGUAAUUAUUAAUCUUCAACGAGGAAUUCCUAGUAAACGCGAGUCAUCAACUCGCAUUGAUUACGUCCCUGCCCUUUGUACACACCGCCCGUCGCUACUACCGAUUGAAUGGGUUA